This 424-nucleotide ribosomal RNA is filed under the name uncultured bacterium. RNAcentral's name for it is "bacterial SSU rRNA". It matches the Rfam family "Bacterial small subunit ribosomal RNA", at positions 355 to 776 of the family's 1533-position model. The record is from RNAcentral.
UAAGGAAUAUUGGUCAAUGGACGGAAGUCUGAACCAGCCAUGCCGCGUGAAGGAUUAAGGUCCUCUGGAUUGUAAACUUCUUUUAUUUGGGACGAAAAAAGGGCAUUCUUGCUCACUUGACGGUACCAUUUGAAUAAGCACCGGCUAACUCCGUGCCAGCAGCCGCGGUAAUACGGAGGGUGCAAGCGUUAUCCGGAUUCACUGGGUUUAAAGGGUGCGUAGGCGGGUAGGUAAGUCAGUGGUGAAAUCUCGAAGCUUAACUUCGAAACUGCCAUUGAUACUAUUUAUCUUGAAUAUUGUGGAGGUUUGCGGAAUAUGUCAUGUAGCGGUGAAAUGCUUAGAUAUGACAUAGAACACCUAUUGCGAAGGCAGCAGGCUACACAUAUAUUGACGCUGAGGCACGAAAGCGUGGGGAUCAAACAGG